GGAGGACCCAAGCGUUACCCGGAAUUACUGGGCGUAAAGCGUUGCGUAGGCGGCCCACCAAGUUUUUGCUUAAAUCUCAAGGCUCAACUUUGAGACUGGCAGAAAAACUGGUGAGCUUGAGAGUGGUAGAGGCGAGUGGAAUUUCCGGUGUAGGAGUGAAAUCCGUAGAUACCGGAAGGAACACCAAUGGCGUAAGCAGCUCGCUGGGCCAUUUCUGACGCUGAGGCACGAAAGCGUGGGUAGCGAACCGGAUUAGAUACCCGGGUAGUCCACGCCGUAAACGAUGGAUGCUAGCUGCUGGGGGUAUCGACCCCCUCGGUAGCGAAGCUAACGCGUUAAGCAUCCCGCCUGGGGAGUACGAGCGCAAGCUUA
Molecule: ribosomal RNA, 372 nt
Filed under: uncultured bacterium
Lineage: Bacteria
Description: bacterial SSU rRNA
Rfam family: Bacterial small subunit ribosomal RNA
Source: RNAcentral